GGGAGACGAGGUGGCCGAGGUGAGGAAGGUCGCGGUCGCCACCGACCGAGUAGUGGCGACGACUGUGGUACAGCUGCCGCGCGGUCGCGGUCGCGGCCUCGGUCCUGGCGUCAUCGUUGCCCACCGAGCGGCGGCGCGGGGCGAUGCCUGCCACCGUGUCCCCGCCGGUAGCGUCGUCGCGACGGCAAGGGACAAUGCCGGCUGCCUCUGCGUCGGCGGCGGAUGAUGACGAAGAGGCCAGGCUCAGGCUGCUUCGCGACGCCGACGCGGUGCUGGGGCUGGCGGGCUUGUGGAAGCAGGACGGGAAUGCGGUGGCGGCCUGAGCCGUGUUCUUCGCCGCGGACGACGUCGCAUGCACGACCUUGGUAGCGGGCACGCCGUUCCUGGCCGUGAGCUUGGCAAGCCAUGCCAGGGGCAAGAAGGACGAGAAGCUGGCCUUGCUCUUCCCCUUGCUCUCUUGCUCCAGUGGUUGCAGGGAUUCCUUGUGCCGUUGCUUACAGCUGCUUCUAAGUCCCCACCUCAUGGCUGCGCGGCCGGGCAACAACUGGGGUUCUUGACGAGUUGGCGUUUCGUAGCUUGGGCGCUUUGGCUGGCUCUUCACCUUGGAGGCUGCAGGGCAGUGUUUGAGAGGGGCUGGGAUUUUAAAGUGGG
This 651-nucleotide unclassified non-coding RNA is filed under the name Zea mays. RNAcentral's name for it is "misc RNA Zm00001eb153290". Lineage: Eukaryota; Viridiplantae; Streptophyta; Magnoliopsida; Poales; Poaceae. The record is from RNAcentral.